AGUGGCGAACGGGUGAGUAACGCGUGGGCAAUCUGCCCUUCAGAUGGGGACAACAUCCCGAAAGGGGUGCUAAUACCGAAUACGAUCGUUUUCCCGCAUGGGAUUGCGAUGAAAGAUGGCCUCUAUUUAUAAGCUAUCGCUGAAGGAUGAGCCUGCGUCUGAUUAGCUAGUUGGUGGGGUAACGGCCUACCAAGGCGAUGAUCAGUAGCCGGUCUGAGAGGAUGAACGGCCACAUUGGGACUGAGACACGGCCCAAACUCCUACGGGAGGCAGCAGUGGGGAAUAUUCCGCAAUGGACGAAAGUCUGACGGAGCAACGCCGCGUGAGUGAUGAAGGUUUUCGGACUGUAAAGCUCUGUUGUUUAGGACGAAAGUGCCUGUUGCGAACAGUUACAGGUAUUGACGGUACUAAACGAGGAAGCCACGGCUAACUACGUGCCAGCAGCCGCGGUAAUACGUAGGUGGCAAGCGUUGUCCGGAAUUAUUGGGCGUAAAGAGCAUGUAGGCGGAGAUUUAAGUCUGUUGUGAAAAUGCGGGGCUCAACCCCGUAUUGCGAUGGAAACUGAAUUUCUUGAGUGCAGGAGAGGAAAGGGGAAUUCCCAGUGUAGCGGUGAAAUGCGUAGAUAUUGGGAGGAACACCGGUGGCGAAGGCGGCUACCUGGACCGAUAUUGACGCUGAGACGCGAAAGCGUGGGUAGCAAACAGGAUUAGAUACCCUGGUAGUCCACGCCGUAAACGAUGAGUACUAGGUG
This 751-nucleotide ribosomal RNA is filed under the name uncultured bacterium. RNAcentral describes it as "bacterial SSU rRNA". It matches the Rfam family "Bacterial small subunit ribosomal RNA", at positions 94 to 822 of the family's 1533-position model. The record is from RNAcentral.